Molecule: ribosomal RNA, 625 nt
Filed under: Bradyrhizobium japonicum
Lineage: Bacteria; Pseudomonadati; Pseudomonadota; Alphaproteobacteria; Hyphomicrobiales; Nitrobacteraceae
Description: bacterial SSU rRNA
Rfam family: Bacterial small subunit ribosomal RNA
Source: RNAcentral
UCGAGCGGGCGUAGCAAUACGUCAGCGGCAGACGGGUGAGUAACGCGUGGGAACGUACCUUUUGGUUCGGAACAACACAGGGAAACUUGUGCUAAUACCGGAUAAGCCCUUACGGGGAAAGAUUUAUCGCCGAAAGAUCGGCCCGCGUCUGAUUAGCUAGUUGGUGAGGUAAUGGCUCACCAAGGCGACGAUCAGUAGCUGGUCUGAGAGGAUGAUCAGCCACAUUGGGACUGAGACACGGCCCAAACUCCUACGGGAGGCAGCAGUGGGGAAUAUUGGACAAUGGGGGCAACCCUGAUCCAGCCAUGCCGCGUGAGUGAUGAAGGCCCUAGGGUUGUAAAGCUCUUUUGUGCGGGAAGAUAAUGACGGUACCGCAAGAAUAAGCCCCGGCUAACUUCGUGCCAGCAGCCGCGGUAAUACGAAGGGGGCUAGCGUUGCUCGGAAUCACUGGGCGUAAAGGGUGCGUAGGCGGGUCUUUAAGUCAGGGGUGAAAUCCUGGAGCUCAACUCCAGAACUGCCUUUGAUACUGAAGAUCUUGAGUUCGGGAGAGGUGAGUGGAACUGCGAGUGUAGAGGUGAAAUUCGUAGAUAUUCGCAAGAACACCAGUGGCGAAGGCGGCUCACUG